Molecule: ribosomal RNA, 492 nt
Filed under: uncultured bacterium
Lineage: Bacteria
Description: partial 16S ribosomal RNA
Rfam family: Bacterial small subunit ribosomal RNA
Source: RNAcentral
AGUGAACGCUGGCGGUAGGCCUAACACAUGCAAGUCGAACGGCAGCACAGUAAGAGCUUGCUCUUACGGGUGGCGAGUGGCGGACGGGUGAGGAAUACAUCGGAAUCUACUUUUUCGUGGGGGAUAACGUAGGGAAACUUACGCUAAUACCGCAUACGACCUACGGGUGAAAGCAGGGGAUCUUCGGACCUUGCGCGAUUGAAUGAGCCGAUGUCGGAUUAGCUAGUUGGCGGGGUAAAGGCCCACCAAGGCGACGAUCCGUAGCUGGUCUGAGAGGACGAUCAGCCACACUGGAACUGAGACACGAUCCAGACUCCUACGGGAGGCAGCAGUGGGGAAUAUUGGACAAUGGGCGCAAGCCUGAUCCAGCCAUACCGCGUGGGUGAAGAAGGCCUUCGGGUUGUAAAGCCCUUUUGUUGGGAAAGAAAAGCAGCAGGUUAAUACCCCGCUGUUCUGACGGUACCCAAAGAAUAAGCAUCGGCUAACUUCGUG